GAUGAACGCUAGCGGCAGGCUUAACACAUGCAAGUCGAGGGGUAGUCAUUUUCGGAUGAUGAGACCGGCGCACGGGUGCGUAACGCGUAUGCAAUCUACCUUUCACAAAGGGAUAGCCCAGAGAAAUUUGGAUUAAUACCUUAUAGUAUAGCAGUCUCGCAUGAGACCACUAUUAAAGAUUUAUCGGUGAAAGAUGAGCAUGCGUCCCAUUAGCUAGUUGGUAUGGUAACGGCAUACCAAGGCUACGAUGGGUAGGGGUCCUGAGAGGGAGAUCCCCCACACUGGUACUGAGACACGGACCAG
This 303-nucleotide ribosomal RNA is filed under the name uncultured Flavobacterium sp. RNAcentral's name for it is "bacterial SSU rRNA". It matches the Rfam family "Bacterial small subunit ribosomal RNA", at positions 28 to 334 of the family's 1533-position model. Lineage: Bacteria; Pseudomonadati; Bacteroidota; Flavobacteriia; Flavobacteriales; Flavobacteriaceae. The record is from RNAcentral.